RNAcentral lists this long non-coding RNA (921 nucleotides) under Manihot esculenta (cassava). RNAcentral's name for it is "long non-coding RNA (MESC_LNC007382)". The record is from RNAcentral. Lineage: Eukaryota; Viridiplantae; Streptophyta; Magnoliopsida; Malpighiales; Euphorbiaceae.
UCAUACUAACAAAUGAAAAUAAAAUAAAAUAUAGUCAUUUAAAUCUGAUUUAAAGACUAAAAGAAAAUAAUUUAAAAUUUAUUUUCUUUUCUUUUUUUUUAUUUUAAUUCCAGGGACAUAAUCGUAAUUUGAGACAUCAUCUUCUUCCCCAGAAGAAGAUGCCCUAGCCGCCGCCAAGAAAGUUUCUUCUCCGCCAUUGACCAGUCCAGCUACCGGAACCGACAGACCGCGCAACGAUUGCGCCACCUCCGACAUCGAGGUAGCCCGAACCGCUUCUCGUCUACGACAGCUCGUGAGGGGAGACCAAACCGAGACUCAUCUCGGUCUCCACCUCCUGCUGUGCAACCGAGCGGCAACCGCCCUCCAUCAGCGCCCGGUGACAGCACAACACUUGCGCUCACGCCAGCAGUCUGAAUCGGCACCGAGAGUUCCAUUAUCGACGGGAUUGUGAAGGGAGUCGCGAUUUCACCGUUUUGUAUAACACUUUCAUUCGCGACCUCGACACUGUCGGUGUCCUACACCUCCCGCCGCCGCUCGUUGACCUGCAGAUCGCGCAACGGUUGCACGUCCACGGCCGACCGAAGCAGCGCUAGAGACUCCUUCGUCUUCUUCGUCGACGAGAAUCGAGAAGGAGAACAAUUUCUCCCCUCGGUCCCACCGGAGAUGAGAACAACCAGCGCCACGGUUCCAGCUUCCCCGCGAUAUCGAGGAUCCCCGGUCCCUCACGCAGUCAUUCUUUGCGGCAUCCGUGCAUCCACGGUGACUGUGGGCUACCACCCCACAUUGCCGGCCGGCCACUCAUCGGCGAUUAUUCGAAGGACAACUUUGGUCUUACCAAGCUUCCUUUUCCGAUGACGUCAAGGCUGCUGGGUACAGGAAUCGUGUUCCUCGUGAACAUGAUUUUCAGAAAUUGAUUUCUUU